AUUGAACGCUGGCGGAAUGCUUUACACAUGCAAGUCGAACGGCAGCACGGGGGCAACCCUGGUGGCGAGUGGCGAACGGGUGAGUAAUACAUCGGAACGUGCCCGGUCGUGGGGGAUAACGUAGCGAAAGUUACGCUAAUACCGCAUACGAUCUGAGGAUGAAAGCGGGGGACCUUCGGGCCUCGCGCGUUCGGAGCGGCCGAUGUCAGAUUAGGUAGUUGGUGGGGUAAAGGCCUACCAAGCCGACGAUCUGUAGCUGGUCUGAGAGGACGACCAGCCACACUGGGACUGAGACACGGCCCAGACUCCUACGGGAGGCAGCAGUGGGGAAUUUUGGACAAUGGGCGCAAGCCUGAUCCAGCCAUUCCGCGUGCAGGACGAAGGCCUUCGGGUUGUAAACUGCUUUUGUAUGGAACGAAAAGGCUCUGGCUAAUACCUGGGGCUCAUGACGGUACCGUAAGAAUAAGCACCGGCUAACUACGUG
RNAcentral lists this ribosomal RNA (484 nucleotides) under uncultured bacterium. RNAcentral's name for it is "partial 16S ribosomal RNA". It matches the Rfam family "Bacterial small subunit ribosomal RNA", at positions 30 to 507 of the family's 1533-position model. The record is from RNAcentral.